AGUGAACGCUGGCGGUAGGCCUAACACAUGCAAGUCGAACGGCAGCACAGUAAGAGCUUGCUCUUACGGGUGGCGAGUGGCGGACGGGUGAGGAAUACAUCGGAAUCUACUUUUUCGUGGGGGAUAACGUAGGGAAACUUACGCUAAUACCGCAUACGACCUACGGGUGAAAGCAGGGGAUCUUCGGACCUUGCGCGAUUGAAUGAGCCGAUGUCGGAUUAGCUAGUUGGCGGGGUAAAGGCCCACCAAGGCGACGAUCCGUAGCUGGUCUGAGAGGAUGAUCAGCCACACUGGAACUGAGAUACGCACCAGACUCCGACGAGAGGCAGCAGUGGUGAAUAUUGGACAAUGGGCGCAAGCCUGAUCCAGCCAUACCGCGUGGGUGAAGAAGGCCUUCGCGUUGUAAAGCCCUUUUGUUGGGAAAGAAAAGCAGCAGGUUAAUACCCCGCUGUUCUGACGGUACCCAAAGAAUAAGCACCGGCCAACUUCGUG
RNAcentral lists this ribosomal RNA (492 nucleotides) under uncultured bacterium. Its description in RNAcentral is "partial 16S ribosomal RNA". It matches the Rfam family "Bacterial small subunit ribosomal RNA", at positions 29 to 507 of the family's 1533-position model. The record is from RNAcentral.